This is a non-coding RNA of Hydra vulgaris (swiftwater hydra), 1539 nucleotides long. NCBI's taxonomy places the organism in Eukaryota, Metazoa, Cnidaria, Hydrozoa, Anthoathecata, Hydridae. The record is from RefSeq and is a predicted model, not a curated record.
AACAGGAGGAAAAAAGUAGUGAAAAAUUUACUGAAAAAUGACUAUUUUUAAAGUGGGUCUUAGAAAAUAAUGGGUGAAAAUUUUCAAAUUUUUGUUUAAUAAUUUUAGUAAUACAUAUAAAAAAAUAUUAGAAAAGUAAAAAAAAAAAAUUUUAAAACUAUAUUGCUAUGUAUAGUAAUGAUUUUUUCAAACAUCAGAAAAAAAGUGUACUACAUGUCAAAAACAGUGCUGCAACUUUUUCCCAACAAAUCCCAACAAAUUGGGACCAAAUCAGGUGAAAAGAAGAAAUAAAGACCUUUAAAAUGACACAUGAAAUUGUUGCGGGGAGUUGCGGGAGCUUAUUUUAUUGACUUUUAAAGUUCGCGCAAGCAUGUGUGCGCGUGCGAUCGUAAUUGUCGGCGAGCGUAAAAAUUCGAAAUAAUAAGCAUCUUGCACUUUGGCUUGCGGAGUUUUGAUACAAUUUGCAACAUUGGAUAUCGCCAAGAUGUCAAAAAGUUCCAUCUUCAUAUGAGCCCUGAUGAAAAAAGACUGGUUGCAAAUCGGGAGACACGAGUCAAGCAAGAAUUUCGGGAGCAGCUGGGUCUAAUUGUUGACCAGAGGCGGGAUGGAGGUGCUGGCACUACAACAACAGGAAAUGUUGCUCGCAAAGCUUUUCAAAACCCAGGUAGCUACACUUGCAAGUUUUGGUACUUUCACCAAACUUUUUGGGAAGCAUUCAGAAAUAAUUUAGUUUUUAGAUAUUAUGUCUUGUCAAGUUGCAUGAGCAUCACAUCAUAGCUUUGCUGUCAAUUUGGAGAAAUUCAAAUCUUGAUAUCUGUAUAUUCCUACAUAUUUUCUUUCUUUUUUAGAAAUUGUUGCAAGAAUCUGUGAUGUCCCUGUCAAACUGGUUGAAAAUCUUUGAACACUCUGGUCUGCCCUUGCAUCUGGAUAUCCCAUUGAUCCAGACAAGUUUAGAGUUCUGUGUGAAGAGACUGAGAAGAUUUAUUUUGACCAUGUAAAAUGGUACUGGUUGUCCCCAACAAUUCACAAGGUUCUGAAACAUGGAAAACAAAUCAUUGAAGCUUGUGUUCUUCCAAUUGGAAUGACCAAUGAGGAACCAGGAGAGGCUAACAACAAAUUUCUUCAAAAAAUCCGUCUUUAUCAUGCUCAAAAAUCAUCCUGGCUCAAUGGCAUGUCUGACCUUUUCUUGAGACUGAUGGACAUCAGUGAUCCAAAGAUACAGGCUUAUGUCCACUGCAAGAAAAAGAAGCACAACUCAGAGAUCUUGCCUGAACCCAUCAAGAAACUCUUGAAGAUGGCGGAACUUCAAAUUUCUAGAGAUGCCUCUGAUUCAGAAGAAGAAUAAAGAAGUCAAACAAAGCAACCAAAGCCUCUCAUAAAAAUUAAAAAAAUUCUCAUACAUUCCCAAUUUUUUUAUUUAUCUAAUGUUAUUAGUUUCAACCAGAUCAAACAAAAUUGAUAUGCUUAACUCUAUGUAAAAAAAUAUUUUCUUUGAUGUAAGCACUUAUGUUGUGCCUAAUAUAACCAACUAGAACCUCA